Molecule: ribosomal RNA, 500 nt
Filed under: uncultured bacterium
Lineage: Bacteria
Description: partial 16S ribosomal RNA
Rfam family: Bacterial small subunit ribosomal RNA
Source: RNAcentral
AUUGAACGCUGGCGGCAUGCCUUACACAUGCAAGUCGAACGGCAGCACGGGAGCAAUCCUGGUGGCGAGUGGCGAACGGGUGAGUAAAGUAUCGGAACGUGCCCAGUCGUGGGGGAUAACGUAGCGAAAGUUACGCUAAUACCGCAUACGAUCUAUGGAUGAAAGCGGGGGAUCGCAAGACCUCGCGCGAUUGGAGCGGCCGAUAUCAGAUUAGGUAGUUGGUGGGGUAAAGGCUCACCAAGCCGACGAUCUGUAGCUGGUCUGAGAGGACGACCAGCCACACUGGGACUGAGACACGGCCCAGACUCCUACGGGAGGCAGCAGUGGGAAAUUUUGGACAAUGGGCGAAAGCCUGAUCCAGCCAUGCCGCGUGCAGGAUGAAGGCCUUCGGGUUGUAAACUGCUUUUGUACGGAACGAAAAGGUUUGGCCUAAUAAGCUGAGCUCAUGACGGUACCGUAAGAAUAAGCACCGGCUAACUACGCGCCAGCCGCCGCGGUAA